Molecule: non-coding RNA, 253 nt
Filed under: uncultured bacterium
Lineage: Bacteria
Also listed under: 1 other name
Description: partial 16S ribosomal RNA
Rfam family: Bacterial small subunit ribosomal RNA
Source: RNAcentral
UACGUAGGUGGCGAGCGUUGUCCGGAAUUACUGGGUGUAAAGGGCGUGUAGGCGGGAAUGUAAGUCAGAUGUGAAAUCCCAGGGCUUAACCCUGGAGCUGCAUCUGAAACUAUGUUUCUUGAGUGUCGGAGAGGAAAGCGGAAUUCCUAGUGUAGCGGUGAAAUGCGUAGAUAUUAGGAGGAACACCAGUGGCGAAGGCGGCUUUCUGGACGAUAACUGACGCUGAGGCGCGAAAGCGUGGGGAGCAAACAGG